Molecule: transfer RNA, 70 nt
Filed under: Girardia tigrina
Lineage: Eukaryota; Metazoa; Platyhelminthes; Tricladida; Dugesiidae
Also listed under: 1 other name
Description: tRNA-Asn
Source: RNAcentral
GUGAGUGUCGUUUAUAGUCUUAAGAUUGCAGACUGUUAAUUUGUAGAAACGUAUGAAUUUGUUGCUUGCU